UCCGAGAUCCAAGAUCGACAAGCCUCGAUUAAAGCACAGGUAUUCUGAAUCUUUACUACAUACUCCUUUAUCGACAGAUUACCUUUCUUAAGCGAAUGUAAAUCAUGGCGAAUGCAAGAUAACUUGACACCUGUGACGGCAGUGAAAAGGCAAGUGGCAGUGUUCCAAACAUCGCACGCCAUCCUAGCAUAUGUAAAAGAAGACAACAGUGAAGGACUAAUAGUAGAAAAUAACCAGAAAGAGGCAAGUAACCUGUCCUGCUGAACUAAUGCUGAGGCAUCCGGAUUUGGAACUAGAGAUCCCUCCGAAGACGGCACAAAAUGCGGCAGAACAGGUAACGUUCCCUCCAAAAAAAACCAGUCAAUUCAUAACCUUCAAUAAUCAAGUGAAUAUGUUGCUGCCUCUGUCAAUCAUUGUUGUCCGACGUUUACCAUGUUAAUAUCUACAAAAACUUGAAAGAAAAAUAGAAUAUGCAGAGAAUGAUUUUUGUAUUAUUAUCUUGAAUUUAACCAGUACAACUAUAGUAUUUAUAAAAUGUGUAUGAGUAACUGCUGCUAACAAUCUCACUUAACAGCAUAACUGCUUGUAUAACAAACUAACAACUAAUAGACUAAUAGAGUCUUUAUCUAUACUCU
This 635-nucleotide long non-coding RNA is filed under the name Gossypium barbadense (sea-island cotton). RNAcentral describes it as "long non-coding RNA (GBAR_LNC023211)". Lineage: Eukaryota; Viridiplantae; Streptophyta; Magnoliopsida; Malvales; Malvaceae. The record is from RNAcentral.